RNAcentral lists this ribosomal RNA (119 nucleotides) under Vigna angularis (adzuki bean). Lineage: Eukaryota; Viridiplantae; Streptophyta; Magnoliopsida; Fabales; Fabaceae. The record is from RNAcentral.
AGGUGCGAUCAUACCAGCCCUAAUGCACCGGAUCCCAUCAGAACUCUGCAGUUAAGUGUGCUUGGGCGAGAGUAGUACUAGGAUGGGUGACCUCUUUGGAAGUCCUCGUGUUGCACCUC